CUUAAUAACAUCAACCCAAGGGUUGCGGGCUGUCUGAGAGGGACGGUGAAAACAGUGGAACAGCUGGUGAAGGUGGGAUCUAUGGUGGAGAAGGACUGGAUGGGAGCAAAGGAUUACUGGCAGAAAGUGGGCAAAUUGAACAGCAAAGAGACUACAACUAAAAGACCACCUGAACGCCAUACUGCUAAAAAUCUAGCAGGAGUAUCCAUAGCACAACCCCACCCUAUGACAUCCCUUCUAGUAGUGCCGAUAAUGAUAAAAGGACAAGAGGUGAAGGCGGUGCUGGAUACAGGGAGCACAUACACCCUUAUUCAGGAAAGCCUGUGGAGACAGUUGGGAGGGGAAGCGAAACCUGACCCUCCAGGCCCACUUCAACAGUUCAUUAUGGCUGAUGGAAAAAUGCACCAGGCGAUCAACAGGAAAACAGUCUGUUAUGAGUGGCAUGACAGGAUAUGCAGGUUGGACACCUAUAUUAUGAAGGAUGCUCACCUGGCCUUUCCCCUUAUAGCUGGUCUGGACUUCCUGAGAGCCGCUGAAGCCAUAGUGGAUGUGGGACAAUGGAGAUAUGGACUGAAAAUGGGCAAAGGAUAUAUCCAUUUCUCUCUGCACUUCUAAAUCCUGUGCUGUCUUCACGUCUGAUGGGUGAAAACCUAGGCAUGACCGCUGUGGUGAGUCUAUAUUAUGCCUUACCUCCAACCUGGAAUUUACCCAUAUAUGAUUUACACACACCAGUUGUUCCCAGAUGGGACUCCAAAAAUCAGGAGGAAUUAAAAAAGCUGAUGGAAAAUUGGCCUCGUACCACCUCUCAAGUCUUGGGAAAACAUCUGUGGAACAGCACAAAAUUACACUGUCCGACGAAAUGCCCAUGAGAUCCAGAGCUUAUAGGGUCUCACCGUUCAAGAAGAAGAUUAUCGAUGAGCAAGUAGAACAAAUGCUACGAGACCAUAUCAUCGAGCCUUCUUUCUCUCCUUGGUCAUCACCUGUAGUCCUGGUCCCCAAACCCGAUGGUUCCUACAGGUUGUGUGUGGACUAUAGGAGGCUUAAUAGUAAGACCGUACCUGACGCUUAUCCAAUGCCAAUCAUUCAUGACAUCUUAGAAUCCAUGGAAGGCGCCUCCUGGUUCAGCACAUUGGAUUUGCAGUCAGGGUACUGGCAGGUAGAAAUGGAGGAAAGUAGUAAAGAGAAAACAGCCUUCAUCACCUCCCAAGGUCUAUUCCAGUUCCGCUCCAUGCCAUAUGGAUUACGGAAUGCCGCUGCCACCUUCCAGAGGCUGAUGGAGAAGGUCCUAGCAGAGUUGAGAGGGAAGUUUUGUUUUGUUUACAUUGAUGACAUCAUAAUCUAUUCACGGUCUUUACCAGAACAUGUACAACAUCUGAACACCAUUCUGCAAAAACUAGACCAAGCUUCGCUUACACUGAACAUGAAGAAGGGUCACUUCUUUAAGAAGCAGCUGAAGUUUCUUGGACAUAUAGUCUCAGAGAAAGGAGUGGAGGUCGAUCCUGAAAAGACCAGAGCGGUAGCUGAAUAUCCUCCUCCCAAAGAAUUUAAAACCCUCCAACGCUUCUUGGGAUUAGCCGGGUGGUACCACAAGUUCAUUCCCCAUUUUGCCGACAUCACAGCUCCAUUAAACAACCUGAAAAAGAAAGGCGUUAAGUGGGAUUGGACUCCUGAGUGCCAAACCAGCCUGGAGACUAUCAAACAAAUAUUACAAAACCCCCCAGUAUUGAUGCAACCUGACCUCAAUCAACCUUUCCAGGUUCAUACAGACGCCAGUGAUGUAGGCUUAGGAGCCAUUAUUACCCAGCAAACUCCUGAGGGGGAACGGGUAAUAGCUUACGCAUCACGAACAUUGCGUGGACCUGAAGUGAAUUAUUCGAAGGCUGAAAAAGAGUGUCUAGCUGUAGUCUGGGCAGUGGAAAAAUUGAGACAUUACCUUGAAGGAAGACAGUUAGACAUUUACAGCGACCAUGCUGCCUUAACUUGGGCCUUCAAUAGCCCUAAAACCUCCUCUCGGCUGACCCGGUGGACUCUUAGGCUGCAGCAAUUCAUCUUCCAAGUACAUCACAGAAGAGGAUGUCUGAACCUGGGACCAGAUGCCUUGUCAUGAGUCUGUGAAGCUCCUGAAAGUGAAAGUGUGCCCUGUCUAGCCAUAGUAAAAUUAAAAUGUGCCUCUGACAUACCCCACACGUUAGAGGAAAUCUCACAAGCACAAAGUCAUGACAAUACGGUGUCUCUCCUCCAACUGGCCCAAAAAACCAGAAAGGUUCAGGAUAACCAAAUUACCUUUGAGGUCCACCAGGGGGUGUUAUAUCGCCGGGUUCCUGUCAAGAACAAUGGAAAUAAAUUCCAACUGGUUGUUCCUCAGGCAGUAAUUCCUGGUUUCUUGCAUUACGUACACGAUAACCCGCUGGGAGGACAUCUGGGACGGCUGAAAACCUUACUGAGGCUCUUGGAGGUGGCGUGGUGGCCAACUGUCCGUAAGGAUGUCUGGCAGUACGUCAAAGGAUGCGAAACAUGUCAAAAAUAUAAACGCGAAAAUACAAAACCAAGCGGAUUCUUACAACAGACGCAAGUGACAGAACCAAGUCACACCUUGGGGAUGGAUUUUAUGGGACCUUUUCCUAUCAGUAAAAAACAGAACACUUACCUUCUGGUCAUAGUUGACUAUUACACCAAAUGGGUAGAGAUGUUCCCCCUUAGAGAUAGUAAAACACAGAAGAUCGUCAAAAUUCUCAGGGAAGAAAUCUUCACCCGAUGGGGGGUCCCAAAAUACAUCAUUUCUGACCGGGGAGCACAAUUCACUUCUAACGUACUGUCAGAGCUUUGCAGGUCCUGGGGAAGCAUCCAAAAACUCACUACCAGUUACCAUCCAGAAAGAAUAAACAGGACAGUAAAAACUAUGAUUGCGUCAUAUGUGGGACAAUACCAUCAAACAUGGGACCAGUGGUUACCUGAGCUGAGGUAUGCUAUCAACACGGCACACCAAGAAACAACAGGGAGAACUCCGGCGGAAUUAAUGCUGGGCAGACAGCUUCACGGUCCACUAGAGAGGUUGAUCCUCAAAAACCCCACUCCUGACCAAACAUCAUAUAAUAUAAUUGAAAGACAGAACAUCACGGCAGAGGAGGUAAAGCACCGAGUAGGGGUGCAACAAUCUAGACAAGCUAGAUACUAUAAUGCCCGACGGAAAGAUGCGCAGUUUCAGCCGGGUGAUCUAGUCUGGGUUAAAUCUCACCCUCUCUCGUCUUUUCGAAUAAAUACUCUGCUAAGCUAGCGCCCAAGUGGGAGGGCCCAGCUGAAGUAAUAAAAAAAAUGGGGCCAAUAAAUUACACUGUUCGUUGGGGAGACCCAUGUAAAACAGAAAUUUUAAAUGUGGUUAACCUAAAACGCUGGUACGGACGAUCUCCUCCUAUGCCGAUGGCUGGGGGGGGGGGAUCUAUGUAGCGUGGCCACAUAAAGGGGAUGUUAUAUAUAUAAGGUUUAUGACAUAAAACUAAUUAUGUUAGUCAUUAUUGCCUUUAAGUUGUAUUGCUUUUCCCCUGUAUUCUGUAUUUCCUCAUCUGUGGUGUAUUGAUCCCGAUUUCUGUUCACGCGAGAACUUCGCGUGGUUCCGCGUCACGUGUUGUACUGCCACGUACAGGAAAAGACUAUUAUUUUCUAUUUAAGGAACCGGUAUGCCAGUUUUCAAGGAGAGACGCUCAUUCAAGAGUACGCUUAUUUCUCCAAACCGUUGAUUCACAAUUAGAUUUACACUAGACUGACCUGGAAGCGCUAGGUCGCCGUUCCUCUGGGAAGUAUAUACAUUUGGCUCGCUGCCAGGAUUAUUUUUAUUCUGAGGACAUUCGCCAGUCAACAUCAACACAAGAUCGUGCUCAUUGGACUAUACAGUAUCCCGGUGAGGCUGAUCCGAUCAUUUUCAUUGACUCUGAGCACUCUGGACUUCACUUUUACAUGUAUAUACACCAAAUCUUGUAGUAUUGUAAAUAUUAUUUGGGGUUUGUAAAUACACUUGAGUUUAUUGGUUUUUCAUCAGUGUUGAUAUAUUUUUUUAUUCCACGCCAUAGCCUAUCUAUAGAAACAAGUUCAGUUUGUUCCCAUUAUAGUGUGAAACUCCACUUAAAGAUUUUGGGGAGUGUUACAGCAUUUAGCAUGUUAAACAUGCUAACCAAACAAUUUUCUUUUGAAAUUUAGGUGGCUUCUUUUUCAAGCUGUUCAAUAACCCUCAUGGCAUGAUGUUGAUGACGCAUGCCACUUUUAUUUCAAUUCUGACAAAGCUUUGCCGCUUCUGGUCUUGCCCCUAAUAAUGGCAUAUGGUAAUCAUAAGAAAACUCCACUGACAUAGAUAAAUAGUGGUUGCAGGUUAAAUCUUAGUCUGGAAUAGACAGCCCUGCAGAAAGUGUUAAUGAUGUUCUAAAUCUUUUUUUCUCACAAUCUUAUUGAAGGCCGAGUGACAAAGACCAAAGACGGUCAUGAGGUGCGCACGUGUAAAGUGGCCGACAAGACAGGCAGCAUCAGUAUAUCAGUUUGGGAUGAGGUUGGGGGACUCAUUCAGGCUGGUGACAUCAUCAGACUUACCAAAGGGUUCUGCAUGGUGUACUCUGAGGUGCCAAACUUUAGUGAACCAAAUCCAGAAUAUUUGGCCCAGACAAAUAAAACAGUACUGAAUGACCAGAGCAACGUGAACAGCAGCACUGCUGCCUCUAC
Molecule: RNA transcript, 4704 nt
Organism: Xyrauchen texanus (razorback sucker)
Lineage: Eukaryota; Metazoa; Chordata; Actinopteri; Cypriniformes; Catostomidae
Gene: nabp2
Gene name: nucleic acid binding protein 2
Exons: 3
Source: RefSeq, a predicted model, not a curated record